This 148-nucleotide ribosomal RNA is filed under the name uncultured Gammaproteobacteria bacterium. Its description in RNAcentral is "partial 16S ribosomal RNA". The stretch from base 18 to 148 matches the Rfam family "Bacterial small subunit ribosomal RNA", at positions 547 to 678 of the family's 1533-position model. The record is from RNAcentral. Lineage: Bacteria; Pseudomonadati; Pseudomonadota; Gammaproteobacteria.
UUUUACCCCUUAAAUCGGAAAAUACUGGGCGUAAGCGCACGCAGGCGGUUUGUUAAGUCAGAUGUGAAAUCCCCGGGCUCAAACUGGGAACUGCAUCUGAUACUGGCAAGCUUGAGUUUCGUAGAGGGGGGUAGAAUUCCAGGUGUAG